This 1242-nucleotide ribosomal RNA is filed under the name metagenome. RNAcentral's name for it is "bacterial LSU rRNA". It matches the Rfam family "Bacterial large subunit ribosomal RNA", at positions 1564 to 2817 of the family's 2925-position model. The record is from RNAcentral.
UGAAUACGAGACGCUAAGGCGUCGAAGUAGUGUAUGUCAUACUUCCAAGAAAAGCUUGCACUGUCAUAAGUAAAAAAUGCCUGUACCAUAACCGACACAGGUGGGUAGGUAGAGUAUACUAAGGGGCGCGAGAUAACUCUCUCUAAGGAACUCGGCAAAAUAACUCCGUAACUUCGGGAGAAGGAGUACCUUAUUCUAUAAGGUUGCAAUAACAAGAUCCAAGCAACUGUUUAUCAAAAACACAGGCCUCCGCUAAGUCGUAAGACGAUGUAUGGGGGCUGACGCCUGCCCAGUGCCAGAAGGUUAAAGAAGUCGGUUAGCAUUAGCGAAGCUGGUAACUGAAGCCCUGGUGAACGGCGGCCGUAACUAUAACGGUCCUAAGGUAGCGAAAUUCCUUCGGGUAAGUUCCGACCCGCACGAAAGGCGUAAUGAUUUGGAUACUGUCUCGGAGAGGGGCUCGGUGAAAUAGACUUGUCUGUGAAGAUGCGGACUACCUGCACCAGGACAGAAAGACCCUAUGAAGCUUUACUGUAACUUGAAAUUGAAAUUGGACUUUAUUCGCGCAGUAUAGGUGGGAGGUGUUGAUUAUAAUCUUGCGGGAUUAUUGGAGCCAUCAGUGAGAUACCACUCUUGUAAUGUCAGAUUUCUAACUUUGAAUCAUUAUCUGGUCAAAGGACAGUUUCAGGCGGGCAGUUUGACUGGGGCGGUCGCCUCCCAAACGGUAACGGAGGCGUACAAAGGUUUCCUCUGAACGGGUAGAAAUCGUAUCUAGAGUGUAAAGGCAUAAGGAAGCUUGACUGUGAGACCUACAAGUCGAACAGGGACGAAAGUCGGUCUUAGUGAUCUGACGGUACUGAGUGGAAAGGCCGUCACUCAACGGAUAAAAGUUACUCUAGGAUAACAGGCUGAUCUCCCCCAAGAGUUCACAUCGACGGGGAGGUUUGGCACCUCGAUGUCGGCUCAUCGCAUCCUGGGGCGGUAGUACGUCCCAAGGGUUGGGCUGUUCGCCCAUGAAAGCGGUACGCGAGCUGGGUUCAGAACGUCGUGAGACAGUUCGGUCCAUAUCCGGUGUAGGCGUUAGAAUAUUGAGAGGAGCCUUCUUUAGUACGAGAGGACCGAGAAGGACAUACCUCUGGUGUACCAGUUAUCGUGCCGACGGUAAACGCUGGGUAGCUAUGUAUGGAGUGGAUAACCGCUGAAAGCAUCUAAGUGGGAAGCCCACCUCAAGAUAAGUAUUCUCAU